Molecule: ribosomal RNA, 253 nt
Filed under: uncultured bacterium
Lineage: Bacteria
Description: partial 16S ribosomal RNA
Rfam family: Bacterial small subunit ribosomal RNA
Source: RNAcentral
UACGAAGGGGGCUAGCGUUGCUCGGAAUUACUGGGCGUAAAGGGCGCGUAGGCGGACAUUUAAGUUAGAGGUGAAAGCCCAGGGCUCAACCCUGGAAUCGCCUUUAAUACUGGAUGUCUUGAGUUCGGGAGAGGUGAGUGGAAUGCCGAGUGUAGAGGUGAAAUUCGUAGAUAUUCGGCGGAACACCAGUGGCGAAGGCGACUCACUGGCCCGAUACUGACGCUGAGGCGCGAAAGCGUGGGGAGCAAACAGG